AUUGAACGCUGGCGGCAGGCCUAACACAUGCAAGUCGAGCGGAUGAAGGGAGCUUGCUCCUGGAUUCAGCGGCGGACGGGUGAGUAAUGCCUAGGAAUCUGCCUGGUAGUGGGGGAUAACGUCCGGAAACGGGCGCUAAUAACGCAUACGUCCUGAGGGAGAAAGAGGGGGAUCUUCGGACCUCACGCUAUCAGAUGAGCCUAGGUCGGAUUAGCUAGUUGGUGGGGUAAAGGCCUACCAAGGCGACGAUCCGUAACUGGUCUGAGAGGAUGAUCAGUCACACUGGAACUGAGACACGGUCCAGACUCCUACGGGAGGCAGCAGUUGGGAAUAUUGGACAAUGGGCGAAAGCCUGAUCCAGCCAUGCCGCGUGUGUGAAGAAGGUCUUCGGAUUGUAAAGCACUUUAAGUUGGGAGGAAGGGCAGUAAGUUAAUACCUUGCUGUUUUGACGUUACCAACAGAAUAAGCACCGGCUAACUUCGUG
RNAcentral lists this ribosomal RNA (484 nucleotides) under uncultured bacterium. RNAcentral's name for it is "partial 16S ribosomal RNA". It matches the Rfam family "Bacterial small subunit ribosomal RNA", at positions 30 to 507 of the family's 1533-position model. The record is from RNAcentral.